UUCUAGUUCCUUGAGAUGUACAUGUAGAUUCUUAUUCCAGAGCUUUCUUUUAAGGCUUCCAUCUCCAGGGCCCUGUCCCCCGAGCCCUCCAGACUGGGGACUCUGGAGCCACACACCAGGAGUCCAACUGCCACCCAGCAGGAAACCGUGCUGACAGGAACUACCAAAACCCUCAGAACCAGAGAAACCUGCCUGCCCCCUGAGGAUUCGCCCACGAUCUAUAGCCCCCUGGCUACAAACCCAGAGCCUGAUGUGUCGCCUGAUCCCUGUCCUCAACUCAGCCCCUCGGGGAACCUACCUCUGCACCAGCAGUUUGGGCCUGCCACGCCCCUAGCUCAGCUAUCUUCAGGGACCCCUUCAGCUCUAGGCAGACCUGGAACUCCCCUGUCUGCUGCAAAGCUCUGGGAUCCCCCCUCCUUCUUCUCAAUUUACACUGGCCCAAGGCUUUCAUGAGAAAGGGGGAAGGCUACCUCCUGACCGCUUAACACCUCCUUUCCUCUUCUGCCAUAUUUCUCUCCACUUACCUUUGUACCUGGGCACACUGGAAGGAACAUAUCAGUGGAACAUGGACAUGCUCUGAGACCUGAAUUUUUCAUGGCAGCUUUCUCAGGACUCCUUAUGCAAUCAGAAACUAACGUGACCUAUGACGGUGUGUUUGAAAAUGUCCAUCUACACAACAGGAGAGCAAAAAUCACUCCAUCUUUACCUCACUCUUCAUGAAGCAGAACGUGGUCUUCUUUUCUUCAUUGACUUCAAUUCCAAUUUGUUGCAAGCAGUGUUCAUUCCUUUGCUUCAGGGAUAGGAUUUCGUGAUUCCUUGCCUGUAUAGAACACCCAGAGCUCAUCACAACAGGUGCCCUCCCUAAUAGCCAUCACCAUUUAACCCUUCCCCCCACACCCCUGCCCUCUAGCAACCCUCGGUUUGUGCUCUAAGAUUGAGUCUGUUUCCUCGUUGGCCUAUCUUACUCCCCUCACUGUGUUCAUCUGUUUUCUUUCUAAAAUUAUGUAGGAGUCAAAUCAUAGGGUAUUGGUCUCUUCUUAUUGACUUUGCUGAGCUUAAUGCACUCGAGAUCCAACCACAUCCUUGCAGAUGGUAAGAUUUCAUUCUUUUUGAAGCUGGGUCCUGUUCCAGAGAGUGAGUGAGUGUGUGUGUGUGUGUAAAUCACC
This is a long non-coding RNA of Lutra lutra (Eurasian river otter), 1166 nucleotides long. RefSeq lists it as uncharacterized. The transcript has 2 exons. The record is from RefSeq and is a predicted model, not a curated record. NCBI's taxonomy places the organism in Eukaryota, Metazoa, Chordata, Mammalia, Carnivora, Mustelidae.